GGGGAAGCAUUGUAUGAAGGGUGCACCCUGCACAACCGUCGAAAGGGAAUUGGGUUAAUAUUCAUGAACUAGGACAUGGUGGCGGGUAUCAACAUUAGGAAAUCUGGAGACGUCGUCAGGGGCCCCAGGAAGAGUUAUCUUUUCUUUUUAAUAGAUUUCCCACCUUGGAACGGUUCACCCAGAGAUAGUGUCCAACAGAUGGAAGAGAACUUCACAUUUUGUAGUGUCUAGUGCACCCUCAGUGGCCCUUCAAAAUCUAGAGGACCAAGUACUAUUCAUGCCUAGUCAUACUCAUAAAUGCAUCAGGUCUCCAAGGUGAGAAACCUCUGGUCAAUAUAACCAUGUAGGUAAGGGAAGUAGGCAAAAUGGAUCUGUAACUUUGGGAGAAUGAUUUGCUCUAAGGGAUAGGAUUAGGGGUUUGUGCAUUCAACUCUUGGACUAUUGGUAGUCUUCCUAAGCUGCUCUCAUGGUGAGGGCAGGCAGCCGUGUGCCAAUUGGGCUAUGGGCAUAGAAUGCCCCCUAUCAAGGGAUUUUCCCUAGGUAGUGAAUAGUUGACCCAAAACUAGUACGGAAAAGGUGAAUCUGACUGUUUAAUUCAAACAGAGCAUUGCGAUUGUCCUUGUAGAUGUUGAUGCAAUUUGAUUUCUUCCUAGUGCUAUGAAUGUUAAAGUCAAGAAAUUCAACCAAGCGCGGGUAAACGAUGGGAGUAAAUAUGACUCUCUUAAGGUAUCCAAAUGCCUCGUCAUCUAAUUAGUGACAUGCGUGAAUGGAUUAACGAGAUUCCCUUUGUCCCUAUCUACUAUCUAGUGAAACCACAGGCAAGGGGAAAGGGCUUGGAAAAAUCAACAGCGAAAGAAGACCCUAUUGAGCUUGACUCUAAUCCGACUUUAUGUAAUGACUUGAGAGGUGUAAAAUAAGUUGGAGUCAUUUUUGGUGAAAGUGAAAUACCACUACUUUUAACAUUAUUUUACUUUUUUUGUGGGGCGGAGAUGGGGCACUACCACUAUUUUUUGUCCUUAAGGUGCAUUUCGGUAGGUCAAUCUGGGUGGAAGAAAUUGUUAGGUGGGGAGUUUGGCUCGGGUAGCAGAUCUGUUAAAAGAUAACGUAGGUUUCCUGAGAUGAGCUCAACAAGAACAAAAAUAUCAUGUGGAACAGAAGGGUAAAAGCUCAUUUGAUUUUUAUUUCUAGUAUGAAUACAAACCAUGAAAGCAUGGCCUAUCAAUCCUUUAGAUUUUUAGAAUUUGAAUCUAGAGGUGUCAGAAAAGUUACCAGAGGGAUAACUCGCUUGUGGUAGCCAAGCAUUGAUAACGACAUUGCUUUUUUAUCCUACGAUGUCAGCUAUUCCUAUCAUUGUGAAGUAGAAUUCACCAAGUGUUGUAUUUUUCACCCACCAAUAGGGAAUGUGAGUUGGGUUUAGAUCAUCGUGAGACAGGUUAGUUUUACCCUACUGAUCAACUGCACUAUUGUGGUGAAGUAAAAUCAUAAGUGUGGACACAAACAAAUUCCUCUAGGUUGAUAAUGGGUCUAGCCACAAUAGAUAUAUUCUAUGGAAUAUUUCCUUAGGUGAGAACUAAUUAAGAGGGCCUACCUCUUAGUACGCUUAUUCCACUUGAUGAUGUCCUUGCUUGCUUGCUACAGCUAUCUAUCACUUCCUUUUCAAGCACCUGAAACAAGUAAACAACAACAAUGAUAAUAGACAAAUUGUAAGUCAACCUACUUAACAAGUCAAGAAACAUUGACCCAUGAAUAUGUAAGAUGACAAAUCAUGUAGGAAAUCAAUUGAUAGUUUCAUAUAUUAAUAU
RNAcentral lists this ribosomal RNA (1802 nucleotides) under Pinus taeda (loblolly pine). RNAcentral describes it as "eukaryotic LSU rRNA". The stretch from base 1 to 1467 matches the Rfam family "Eukaryotic large subunit ribosomal RNA", at positions 1554 to 3401 of the family's 3401-position model. Lineage: Eukaryota; Viridiplantae; Streptophyta; Pinopsida; Pinales; Pinaceae. The record is from RNAcentral.